Molecule: ribosomal RNA, 468 nt
Filed under: uncultured bacterium
Lineage: Bacteria
Description: partial 16S ribosomal RNA
Rfam family: Bacterial small subunit ribosomal RNA
Source: RNAcentral
GACGAACGCUGGCGGCGUGCUUAACACAUGCAAGUCGAACGGAAAGGCCCUGCUUUUGUGGGGUGCUCGAGUGGCGAACGGGUGAGUAACACGUGAGUAACCUGCCCUUGACUUUGGGAUAACUUCAGGAAACUGGGGCUAAUACCGGAUAGGAGCUCCUGCUGCAUGGGGGGGGUUGGAAAGUUUCGGCGGUUGGGGCUGGACUCGCAGCUUAUCAGCUUGUUGGUGGGGUAGUGGCUUACCAAGGCUUUGACGGGUAGCCGGCCUGAGAGGGUGACCGGCCACAUUGGGACUGAGAUACGGCCCAGACUCCUACGGGAGGCAGCAGUGGGGAGUAUUGCACAAUGGGGGGAAGCCUGAUGCAGCAACGCCGCGUGCGGGAUGACGGCCUUCGGGUUGUAAACCGCUUUCGAAUGUGACGAAGCGUGAGUGACGGUAAUGGGUAAAGAAGCCACGGCUAACUACGUG